This 497-nucleotide ribosomal RNA is filed under the name uncultured bacterium. Its description in RNAcentral is "bacterial SSU rRNA". It matches the Rfam family "Bacterial small subunit ribosomal RNA", at positions 29 to 518 of the family's 1533-position model. The record is from RNAcentral.
AUGAACGCUAGCGACAGGCCUAACACAUGCAAGUCGAGGGGCAGCACAAGGAGCAAUCUGAGGUGGCGACCGGCGCACGGGUGAGUAACACGUAUGCAACCUGCCUGUAAGCGGGGAAUAGCCCGUUGAAAGACGGACUAAUACCGCAUAAUACUAAAUUACUGCAUGGUAAUUUAUUUAAACAUUUAUGGCUUACAGAUGGGCAUGCGCAUGAUUAGCUAGUUGGAGAGGUAACGGCUCCCCAAGGCAACGAUCAUUAGGGGUUCUGAGAGGAAGGUCCCCCCACACUGGUACUGAGACACGGACCAGACUCCUACGGGAGGCAGCAGUGAGGAAUAUUGGUCAAUGGACGAGAGUCUGAACCAGCCAAGUCGCGUGCAGGAAGAAUGUUCCCUAUGGAUUGUAAACUGCUUUUGCAGGGGAAUAAAGUGCAUCACGUGUGAUGUUUUGUAUGUACUCUGCGAAUAAGGAUCGGCUAACUCCGUGCCAGCCGCCGC